This is a long non-coding RNA of Lolium rigidum, 2245 nucleotides long. RefSeq lists it as uncharacterized. The record is from RefSeq and is a predicted model, not a curated record. The transcript has 3 exons. Lineage: Eukaryota; Viridiplantae; Streptophyta; Magnoliopsida; Poales; Poaceae.
CUCCCACCCGACCCAGCUCCAUCGGCGCAAGCCCUAUGCGGCAAUCUUCCUCCGUCACCUCAUCUACUUCGGGGAUGCCGUUCCCUGCUUCUGCUGCUACCCUGGGCAUCGCGGAUGACAUUGACAAAGUGGUCGUAGUGGUAGGCGAGGAGGACGACCUGAGGAGCCAUGUAUUCUGGCUGCGACCAGUGAAGUGCAGCGCGACAGAGGCACUCCAGAAGUGGACUGGCGAGGGCCGCCCUUGCGCCAGAUCUCCACUGCAUUACCCGAGAUCUCAGUUGCGGCAGUUGAUACAAGCACGCCCUUGAGGCUUCAGGAAGAUGUCGCCAGGAGACUGGUGGAGCGUGUUUUCGACUUGCAAGGAGAAUUGAUGAAUGUUUCUAGGUGCACGCCACAGUUUCAGUCUUCCAAAUAAAUUCCAGUCGUGGAUUGGUAUAGCAAUCUACACGAUUCUUGUGUUUCUAGGCGCACGUCACAGUUUCAGUCUUGCAUAGAGAAUGGCUUCUCCAUCUGUGGUUCACUCUAUUGUGUUUUGAGGUUUCUGAAUUUUCUCGGAGUGACCAUCUUCCUGGCCCUUAUAACUCUGUUAUUUGUUAUGUUGUCCAUUAAAUUUUAGUUCAAACGAUCCACAGGGGGAGCUGGUUAUGGGAUUCAGAAGGACAAACACUACAUGUAGCUUCUGUUACAGUUCAUCUACACUCGGUUAAUUGAAAGGAUGAUUGAAUGCAGAUUCAAGUGUGCUAUUUGUUUCCUGUCUGUCUGAUGAAGUAUUAUUGUGAAAUGCCUCCAGGCUGGACAAUUUGGAUCCUCUGCUGCCUCCUUUUAACUCUUGUGCUCUGCUUUCUACUAUGUUGGAGUUUUCAUCAGCAAAAAUUAGAUAAUCAUCCCACUUCCCAUGCUUGGCAUCAAAUACAGAAUUAUUGAAUUGGCUCUUCUACCGAACAUUGUUGUUUACUUUAUCUAUGUUGACCAGCUAUUUCUUCAAAGAAUUAUGGCCAGCUAUUUCUUCAAAGAACGACCAACAAAGCCUGGGGCAUGAUAUAUUUCGCAUCUAAUUAUAGCUGGAAUAGAUUGCGCCCCAUAGUGAUUGACUAAUCCACACGGCUUCAAUACAACAACGCCAUUUUGAAGGGCAAUCGAACUACAUUAUGUUCUAUAACAUAUGGUUAUGCAGGAUGAUAUUAUAGUCCCUAAGCUCACUGGUUAUAGCACGAAUUCAGUAGAAAAAUGCAUACUUAUUGGAGAAUUUCAUUUCUGUGGAGCAGUUCAUGCUUAAUAAGUUUUCUACUUGGGAGGAGCUACCUGAACUUGCAAAGUUUAUGAAUGAAUGUUCUCACUGGAGACUCAAACAAUCUUCCAUUUUCUUGAAGUUGCCAAGCCAUGUACAUCAGUAAAUGACCUGUAGGUUUAGCCAGACGAGCACAGCAAGAUUGGAACUCUGCAAUUGUUGUGUGUGGUAUGUAUUUCUUAAUAUAGUUUACCAUUUUUUAAAACUGUUUAUAUCAGUUCCCUUUGUAGUUGUUUCUCCGAAACUACAUUUAAUAUUAUUUUCCAGUUUUGUAUCAUCUUGCCUAAACACACAGAUGAAGAUUUGGCUGUUGUAGUUUGUUCACACUUCACAGUAUUCCAAACGACAUUUUACUUUUUUACACAUGAAGGGUGAUUUUGCACGCGGUUUAUCUGAGUAGGUAUUCUCACUUAGUCCAUCUGAUAACAUGAUUAAAUUUCCCUCAUUGUUAACACUUUAUAGCGUAACUGAAUUUGAUCACAAGAGGUGUGAAUUCAGGAUUUAUUUCUGUACCUGUGUGAAGGAUAUAUCAUCCACAAUGCACUAAUACAGUGAGAAAAUUAAUUUGUUUGGAAGGUGAUUUUUUUCCUUUGUCUGCAGCUGAAAGAAAAGAAAGCAAGAUAAGUAAAGAAUAAAACUGUCGUUGAAAUUGCAAACCUAAUCUGAAUGCUCUGCUAAACCAGAGGUCGGUGUUUCCUAAAAAAAGAGUUCAGCGGAGAAACUAAUGGACACUAAAAGAUCUUUCCCAUUUUGUGCUACUUAGUUCUCCAUGCAAUUCGAUUAGGUUAGCUACAUAUCUGGCAAUAGAAUUAUUUGCAUAUCCAGUCUUUAAUAGUGACAGUUUUGAAAUUGAACUCUUUGAGGGUAAAUCUUUGCUUGCUCUCAAGCUGAAUUCGAAGAAAGCAAACACACUAAGAAACCGAUGGACAGUGAAAGAUCAUGGGUUGUCAGAAUUUU